AUAUGCUCAAGUGGUAGAGUGCUUGUCUAGCAAGCAUGUGGCUCUGAGUUCAAUCCUCAGUAU
RNAcentral lists this transfer RNA (63 nucleotides) under Dipodomys ordii (Ord's kangaroo rat). It matches the Rfam family "tRNA", at positions 5 to 66 of the family's 71-position model. Rfam says of the family: Transfer RNA (tRNA) molecules are approximately 80 nucleotides in length. Their secondary structure includes four short double-helical elements and three loops (D, anti-codon, and T loops). Lineage: Eukaryota; Metazoa; Chordata; Mammalia; Rodentia; Heteromyidae. The record is from Rfam by way of RNAcentral.